This 30-nucleotide non-coding RNA is filed under the name Rattus norvegicus (Norway rat). Lineage: Eukaryota; Metazoa; Chordata; Mammalia; Rodentia; Muridae. The record is from RNAcentral.
CCUCCAACUCACAGCCUCUUUACAGCAGCC